UACGUAGGGGGCAAGCGUUAUCCGGAUUUACUGGGUGUAAAGGGAGUGUAGGUGGCCAUACAAGUCAGAAGUGAAAGCCCGGGGCUCAACCCCGGGACUGCUUUUGAAACUGCAUGGCUUGAGUGCAGGAGAGGUAAGUGGAAUUCCUAGUGUAGCGGUGAAAUGCGUAGAUAUUAGGAGGAACACCAGUGGCGAAGGCGACUUACUGGACUGUAACUGACACUGAGGCUCGAAAGCGUGGGGAGCAAAC
Molecule: ribosomal RNA, 250 nt
Filed under: uncultured bacterium
Lineage: Bacteria
Description: partial 16S ribosomal RNA
Rfam family: Bacterial small subunit ribosomal RNA
Source: RNAcentral